CACCUAUAUCUGGCUAUAUAUUUAUAAAGUACACAUAGUUUUGAGUAUAACUUGUUUAUGUCUUAUGUCGUUAUUAAGCCAUUCCAAAUUGGCCGUUUUUGUAUUGUACAUAUUUAUUUUAGUGCUUAGACAUAGAUUAACGUGUCCCUAAUAUUGGGUUAUUUUCAUUUAGCAUUUAAAGGUAUUGUACGGUUUGUACAGUUGGUACCAAAUAAAAAAAAACAAAGCUCUUAUUAUCUUGGUUAAUCUAUAGAGGAUGGCUAAAAAAUAACUGCAUUCCCGUUGACAGGGAGGUUUUGGGAUUAUACUGAGAAAAGUUGCUCAGUUACUAUGGGACCAACUCCGAAAUAGCGAAAUAAAAAUUUGGCUGUUUCAUACAUUUUGGCUGGUCCAUUUUGUAUGGAAGGGUAAAUUUUUUGUUCGCGAUUUCGGGGUUGGUCCCAUAGUAAAAGUUGCUCAGUAUAAUCCAAAACCCUCCCUGGCGACGGGAAUGGAAAUUAUUUUUUAGUCACCGUGUAUAAUAUGGUACACCGUGUACAACAUCUAAACGUCGCCGGGUUAAUAACUUACCUACCAAAACCAAAAUAAAUUGACAUACCUACGCUAUUUGCCAAAAUAACCCAUAAGUAUGAGUUUACUAAAUCGAUCUAGUAAUAUUUUGGGGGCCUAUUCUCAAUUUAGACUAAACGGUUUCAAACGGUCGAAUAACGAUCUACCUUUUGUUAUUAUUGUAAAUAUUAUCGUUUCGUUAUCUAAUAAACUUUAUAUUUUA
Long non-coding RNA from Cydia splendana, 772 nucleotides. RefSeq lists it as uncharacterized. The record is from RefSeq and is a predicted model, not a curated record. Lineage: Eukaryota; Metazoa; Arthropoda; Insecta; Lepidoptera; Tortricidae. The transcript is spliced from 2 exons.